ACGGGACCCGCACAAGCAGCGGAGCAUGUGGUUUAAUUCGAAGCAACGCGAAGAACCUUACCAGAUCUUGACAUCCAAUUGACCAUCUUUUAAUCGAGAUUUUGCCUUCGGGUACAAUUGAGACAGGUGGUGCAUGGUUGUCGUCAGCUCGUGUCGUGAGAUGUUGGGUUAAGUCCCGCAACGAGCGCAACCCUUGUGUUUUAGUUGCAAACAGGUCAAGCUGUGCACUCUAGACAGACUGCCGUGGACAACACGGAGGAAGGUGGGGAUGACGUCAAAUCAUCAUGCCCCUUAUGAUCUGGGCUACACACGUGCUACAAUGGCCGGUACAACGGGCAGCGAAGGAGCGAUCCGGAGCGAAUCCUAAAAAGCCGGUCCCAGUUCGGAUUGCAGGCUGAAACUCGCCUACAUGAAGUUGGAUUCGCUAGUAAUCGCGCAUCAGCCAUGGCGCGGUGAAUACGUUCCCGGGCCUU
Molecule: ribosomal RNA, 473 nt
Filed under: uncultured Fusibacter sp.
Lineage: Bacteria; Bacillati; Bacillota; Clostridia; Eubacteriales; Fusibacteraceae
Description: bacterial SSU rRNA
Rfam family: Bacterial small subunit ribosomal RNA
Source: RNAcentral